This 163-nucleotide ribosomal RNA is filed under the name uncultured bacterium. RNAcentral's name for it is "partial 16S ribosomal RNA". It matches the Rfam family "Bacterial small subunit ribosomal RNA", at positions 1338 to 1500 of the family's 1533-position model. The record is from RNAcentral.
GUAAUCGUGGAUCAGCAUGCCACGGUGAAUACGUUCCCGGGUCUUGUACACACCGCCCGUCACACCAUGGGAGCCGGUAAUACCCGAAGUCAGUAGUCUAACCGCAAGGAGGACGCUGCCGAAGGUAGGAUUGGCGACUGGGGUGAAGUCGUAACAAGGUACC